Molecule: long non-coding RNA, 405 nt
Filed under: Apteryx owenii (little spotted kiwi)
Lineage: Eukaryota; Metazoa; Chordata; Aves; Apterygiformes; Apterygidae
Description: lncRNA (ENSAOWG00000007612.1)
Source: RNAcentral
AGAUACUUCUGCUCAUGUGGAAUCCACAGCCCAGAACUCCAGCUCUCUCCAGGAGGCAGGAACACAUGGCAUUUUAAAAAGAACCAGGAGGAAACAGUAGUGACUAAACAGAAACACUGGACAACAGUAGAGGACAUCCAGCUGAUUAUUAACUGCAUUUUCUAUUACUGUCUGAGAAGAUUUGAAGGGUGGACGUCCUCUUGUUCAUCUGCUUCUACUACAGGCAGGAAAGUGCUUCAGCACUCUGAUGGAAAGAACACCAGAGAUCUUCUCUCGCCCCAGCUGCUGCUGCCUCUAAAAGUGAUGGGAAGUCAGUGGAUAGCAAGUGGUUGUUCUGGGGCAACAGAUCUGCCAUCUCAAAAGAUGCACUCCAGAUCCGCUCAAAGUGGCAAAACAAAGGUAGGA